GAUGAACGCUGGCGGCGUGCCUAACACAUGCAGGUCGAGCGAAGCGCUUAAAUUAGAUUUCUUCGGAAUGACGAUUUUUGUGACUGAGCGGCGGACGGGUGAGUAACGCGUGGGUAACCUGCCUCAUACAGGGGGAUAACAGUUAGAAAUGACUGCUAAUACCGCAUAAGACCCCAGCUUCGCAUGAAGCGGUGGUAAAAACUCCGGUGGUAUGAGAUGGACCCGCGUCUGAUUAGCUAGUUGGUAAGGUAACGGCUUACCAAGGCGACGAUCAGUAGCCGACCUGAGAGGGUGACCGGCCACAUUGGGACUGAGACACGGCCCAGACUCCUACGGGAAGCAGCAGUGGGGAAUAUUGCACAAUGGGGGAAACCCUGAUGCAGCGACGCCGCGUGAAGGAUGAAGUAUUUCGGUAUGUAAACUUCUAUCAGCAGGGAAGAAAGUGACGGUACCUGACUAAGAAGCCCCGGCUAACUACGUG
Molecule: ribosomal RNA, 481 nt
Filed under: uncultured bacterium
Lineage: Bacteria
Description: partial 16S ribosomal RNA
Rfam family: Bacterial small subunit ribosomal RNA
Source: RNAcentral